This 254-nucleotide unclassified non-coding RNA is filed under the name uncultured Gemmatimonadota bacterium. Its description in RNAcentral is "uncultured Gemmatimonadetes bacterium contains 16S-23S intergenic spacer region". It matches the Rfam family "Bacterial small subunit ribosomal RNA", at positions 524 to 776 of the family's 1533-position model. The record is from RNAcentral. Lineage: Bacteria; Pseudomonadati; Gemmatimonadota.
UACGGAGGGUGCAAGCGUUGUUCGGAAUUACUGGGCGUAAAGCGCGCGUAGGUGGCGCGGUAAAUCUCUGGGUGAAAUGCCGGGGCUCAACCCCGUGCCUGCCCGAGAUACUGUCGUGCUUGAGACAAGUAGAGGCUAGCGGAAUUCCGGGUGUAGCGGUGGAAUGCGUAGAGAUCCGGAAGAACACCGGAGGCGAAGGCGGCUAGCUGGGCUUGGUCUGACACUGAGGUGCGAAAGCGUGGGGAGCGAACAGG